AGUGAACGCUGGCGGUAGGCCUAACACAUGCAAGUCGAACGGCAGCACAGUAAGAGCUUGCUCUUACGGGUGGCGAGUGGCGGACGGGUGAGGAAUACAUCGGAAUCUACUUUUUCGUUGGGGUUAACGUAGGGAAACUUACGCUAAUACCUCAUACGACCUACGGGUGAAAGCAGGGGAUCUUCGGACCUUGCGCGAUUGAAUGAGCCGAUGUCGGAUUAGCUAGUUGGCGGGGUAAAGGCCCACCAAGGCGACGAUCCGUAGCUGGUCUGAGAGGAUGAUCAGCCACACUGGAACUGAGACACGGUCCAGACUCCUACGGGAGGCAGCAGUGGGGAAUAUUGGACAAUGGGCGCAAGCCUGAUCCAGACAUACCGCGUGGGUGAAGAAGGCCUUCGGGUUGUAAAGCCCUUUUGUUGGGAAAGAAAAGCAGCAGGUUAAUACCCCGCUGUUCUGACGGUACCCAAAGAAUAAGCACCGGCUAACUUCGUG
Molecule: ribosomal RNA, 492 nt
Filed under: uncultured bacterium
Lineage: Bacteria
Description: partial 16S ribosomal RNA
Rfam family: Bacterial small subunit ribosomal RNA
Source: RNAcentral